CCUACGGGUGGCUGCAGUGGGGAAUAUUGCACAAUGGGCGCAAGCCUGAUGCAGCCAUGCCGCGUGUGUGAAGAAGGCCUUCGGGUUGUAAAGCACUUUCAGCGGGGAGGAAGGCGGUGAGGUUAAUAACCUCAUCGAUUGACGUUACCCGCAGAAGCAGCACCGGCUAACUCCGUGCCAGCAGCCGCGGGAAUACGGAGGGUGCAAGCGUUAAUCGGAAUUACUGGGCGUAAAGCGCACGCAGGCGGUCUGUCAAGUCGGAUGUGAAAUCCCCGGGCUCAACCUGGGAACUGCAUUCGAAACUGGCAGGCUAGAGUCUUGUAGAGGGGGGUAGAAUUCCAGGUGUAGCGGUGAAAUGCGUAGAGAUCUGGAGGAAUACCGGUGGCGAAGGCGGCCCCCUGGACAAAGACUGACGCUCAGGUGCGAAAGCGUGGGGAGCAAACAGGAUUAGAUACCCCGGUAGUC
RNAcentral lists this ribosomal RNA (465 nucleotides) under uncultured Klebsiella sp. RNAcentral describes it as "bacterial SSU rRNA". It matches the Rfam family "Bacterial small subunit ribosomal RNA", at positions 338 to 795 of the family's 1533-position model. The record is from RNAcentral. Lineage: Bacteria; Pseudomonadati; Pseudomonadota; Gammaproteobacteria; Enterobacterales; Enterobacteriaceae.